GCUCGCACGGGGCUGGGGCUGGAGCUUUCGGGCCCGGCUGAGGAAGGCUGGGCCGUCGCCAUCGUCCCGCUGUGGGCGUCCCCUCAGUGCGUCGCUGGGCCCACACGCCUCGGUCCUGUGCUUGGUCUUCCAGGGCAGGCUUUGUGUGCUUGCAGGACCUGACCUCAGGGAAGCUUGAGCACUUCAUACACAAGCCCGUCCCAUGAAUGCUGUGGGCGCUGGAUGGGAAUCAGUCUCAGCCCUUCACAAGCUGCAGUCCCUGCGGGAACCCUUGCUGUGCCACUGCAGAGGAGCCAGCUGUUGCAGAUCCCACCCUGGUGGUCUGUCAUCGCACCUUGCCCCUGGGACGAGGGUCUGCAAGAGGAUGCUGGUGCCCUGAUCCUGACACAAAGAUACAGUCCAAAGAGCUCAUGAGGCAGUCUGCGCUCCUCCUCUGCCUCUCCCAAAAGGAAUGCAGGUCUUGACCACACACAUGGCUGAUACAGGACCUUGACCUUGAACUUUGUGCCUUGGACAUCAGCUUUGUGAGCCUUUAGACAGCCCUUCUGCAGCUGUGUCAGGCCACACACAGUCACAGGUCUCUGCUGGGAGGUGACAGGCACAAAGCUGGCACUGGCUCUGUGAAUACUUCUCUGCAAAGUCAAACAGGCCAAAAAUAAAUGCUAGUGAAAGAAUAAACAGAUGUGGAAAGAAGGCUUGGACACUUGGAAGACAAGACUGCUUUGUGUCUCCCAAAGCCAUAAGCCUGUUCACAAGGAGGUUACUCUUUCAGAAAACCCCAAGUCCUGUGAUGCUGCCCAGGGUUUGAACAUGCACCAGUUCGACAGCAGAAGACAGCUUCCAUCUGUCUCGGAUGUGGCUGUGGUGCUGUGGUUGCAUCCUUUGCAGGCUGACUUGGGAAGCAGGCAGUGCUGCUGCCUUCUGCAGCUGAGGCAGCAGUCCCCUCCAGGUCCCUAGGAGGGCAGAGGUCUGACGAGCUCCUCUCUCCAGCACGGCUGUGCCGUCUCUGCUGGACAGCCCCGCAGCCACCCCGAGCAUGGUGACCAGCCGUGACACAGACAGGAAGGUGUGGAACUGCUUUGUCAUCGCUGCAGGCUCCCUCCUCAGCAAACGCCGUGCUGCACUUCAGCGUAACGCCAGAUGGCUCGUCUGUCACUCGGCAGAAAUGCCAUCAAACAAAUCCUGCCAUAGAUUGCCACAAGCAACCCUCAAGUGCCCCAAACCACUGGGGCAAAGUGAAGCAAUGCCUCACCUGCAAGCACACGUGUCGUGGACAAUCAGCGCCCUGGCACCGUGUCCAGGACACACAGGGACCCCAGACCCGACCAGCACCCAGCAUUCGUGCACCAGCAGCCCGGGGUGCCAAGCUGCCCAGCUGCAGUGGGAGCAGGUCACACCUGCUUGCCCAAUUGCAGGAGCAGUUGCUCUUGAUUUAUUAAUAAAGCUGGGAUUUUAAUUAGCUAAUUACUACUGAUUUCUCAACAGCUUUCAACUUAAGCAAUCUUUGAAAGGAAUCUAUAGGUUUCCUACUAAAAAGGUGCCAAGUAGUUGGCUGGGAAUUUUCAACCCUCAUUUACAAAUCCUCCUGGAAAUCCCAGCCCAACCCAGCACAUCCUUAGGGCAAGGAGCAACACUUUCCUUUUAAUUCAUCAGUAAUGUAAAUUUUGGUGGAAGUGGACUCAAAAAAAACAUAGGCAGAUUCCCACAUGUGCUUCUGCCCUGCUGUUUCCACGAGCGUUCCGUGCAGGGUGCUGGGAUGGGCCCAUCCCCGCCGUGGACCUGCAUGCACCCCUGCAAGCUGGCGAGCGCCUCGAGGGCUUUCCAGGGCCUUUGUAGCACAGCCAGCAACCGAGGACUCUUCAGUGCUAUAUUUCUUUUUGCUUACAUUAAAUAUGUCCUGUCCCUCGGCAAAGGGCACCUUUCCCCGCUCCAGUUACAGGCUAGGAAGAACACGACUGAUGAUUAUCCCUGGGGACCUGUGAGGUGCGAUCCAGCAGGGAUCUCGCAGGGCACAGCUCCCCCUUCCCCUUCCCAGCCUAAGCACUCUGCGGGACUCCCUCGCUCACUGCUGCGCUAGCAUUCAGCUCCAAAACAAUGAGGCUGAGCUGCCACGUUCAGCUGUGCAGAGCAGCAUCUUGUUUGGAGCUGCUGCCGUUCAAACAUGCCAUCUCCAGGGACACGGGCGGCAGGCUGGCGCAGCUGUUUUGCAUGCAAUGGAAAUGCCGAGGUUUGGGGCAGUCAUAAAGGUCCACAAAGUGUAACACAAGGCGACGUCACCCCUUCUAUCAGCAGAUGACACUCCACAGAAGCAGCCAACCUGGCAUCCAAAAAAUUCCUGAGAUCCCCUCAUCACUGCACAGAGCCACACCUUAUUUUCAUUUUGAAUUUCUUCUAAGGCUUGAAAGUCAAAUGAAAGCAAGCAUUAUGCUCCCAUUUGGUAAUAAAACACGAGCCAUGAUUCUGAACCAAAUAUUAUUUGCAUCUUUAAAAAAA
Oxyura jamaicensis (ruddy duck) is the source of this 2493-nucleotide long non-coding RNA. RefSeq lists it as uncharacterized. The transcript is spliced from 7 exons. The record is from RefSeq and is a predicted model, not a curated record. NCBI's taxonomy places the organism in Eukaryota, Metazoa, Chordata, Aves, Anseriformes, Anatidae.